GAAGGUCGGUCUGUCGCCGUCGGCUAUGCCGAGGGAGGAAAGUCCGGGCAGUGCAGAGCAUCCCACUUCCUAACAGAAAGCUAUUCGUAAGAGUAGAGCUAUGCAGAAGAAAAUAACCGCCUCUGAAAAGAGGUAAGGGUGAGAAGGUGAGGUAAGAGCUCACCAGCCGUAUGGUGACAUACGGGCUGUGCAUCUUGGGAACUGUAAGAUCAUGUAAACCGGCGUUAAGAGAGUUGCUCGCUCCAGUUGGAGGGUGGAUUGCUAGAGCUUAUUGGCAACAAUGAGCGUAGAUAAAUGACAGACACCUUAUAUAUUAAGGAACAGAACCCGGCUUACAGACCCUCUGU
RNAcentral lists this RNase P RNA (347 nucleotides) under human gut metagenome. RNAcentral describes it as "Bacterial RNase P class A". It matches the Rfam family "Bacterial RNase P class A". Rfam says of the family: Ribonuclease P (RNase P) is a ubiquitous endoribonuclease, found in archaea, bacteria and eukarya as well as chloroplasts and mitochondria. Its best characterised activity is the generation of mature 5'-ends of tRNAs by cleaving the 5'-leader elements of precursor-tRNAs. Cellular RNase Ps are ribonucleoproteins. The record is from RNAcentral.